This is a small nuclear RNA of Cercocebus atys (sooty mangabey), 107 nucleotides long. NCBI's taxonomy places the organism in Eukaryota, Metazoa, Chordata, Mammalia, Primates, Cercopithecidae. The record is from Ensembl.
CUGCUUGCCUCGGCAGUACAUGUACCAAAAUGGCAAUGAUACAGAGAAGACUGGCAUGGCUCUUGUGCAAGAAUGACAUGCAAAUUCAUGAAGUGUUCCAUUAAAAG